GGGAAAGUGGCUCAGUGGUAGAGCACUUGCCUUGCAUGCAUGAGGCCCUGGGUUCGAAUCCUCAGCACCA
RNAcentral lists this transfer RNA (70 nucleotides) under Dipodomys ordii (Ord's kangaroo rat). It matches the Rfam family "tRNA". From Rfam's summary of the family: Transfer RNA (tRNA) molecules are approximately 80 nucleotides in length. Their secondary structure includes four short double-helical elements and three loops (D, anti-codon, and T loops). Lineage: Eukaryota; Metazoa; Chordata; Mammalia; Rodentia; Heteromyidae. The record is from Rfam by way of RNAcentral.